Trifolium pratense (red clover) is the source of this 312-nucleotide long non-coding RNA. RefSeq lists it as uncharacterized. The transcript has 3 exons. The record is from RefSeq and is a predicted model, not a curated record. NCBI's taxonomy places the organism in Eukaryota, Viridiplantae, Streptophyta, Magnoliopsida, Fabales, Fabaceae.
CCUUGCACUGUCACGGCGACGUCGUCGUUCUCAUGCCGCUACACCUUCUCCUCACAUUGCAGGUUGCUCAUCACUGUGUGAUUUAGGGACGGGUCAAUUUACCUUCAUGAUGCAGCAUCGUCCUCACGUGCUUGGCCCUCCUCUGUCUACCGCCGUACGCUUCAACCUCUGUCAGCAACAAAUGAAGGAACUAGACAACACGUAGUGGUCUUAAAAUAUUGGUUGGCCAACACUGAUGUAUGGAAGAGCUACAGAAGAAGGGGAAUGCAAAGAUAGUAAGGAGUCUCCAAAAACUCAAAUGAAUUUAUUCAG